This 89-nucleotide transfer RNA is filed under the name Caudoviricetes sp. Its description in RNAcentral is "tRNA-Ser". It matches the Rfam family "tRNA". Rfam says of the family: Transfer RNA (tRNA) molecules are approximately 80 nucleotides in length. Their secondary structure includes four short double-helical elements and three loops (D, anti-codon, and T loops). The record is from RNAcentral. Lineage: Duplodnaviria; Heunggongvirae; Uroviricota; Caudoviricetes.
GGAUGAUUACCCAAGCGGCUUAAGGGAACGGUUUUGAAAACCGUUAGCGGGCUAAUAACCUGGCGAAGGUUCGAAUCCUUCAUCAUCCG